Molecule: non-coding RNA, 694 nt
Filed under: Mecistocirrus digitatus
Lineage: Eukaryota; Metazoa; Nematoda; Chromadorea; Rhabditida; Trichostrongylidae
Source: RNAcentral
AAAGUGUGCUUUUAUAGAAUUUAAAUUUGAUUAUAGUUUUAAAAGUUUUAAAAUAGCAUUAUUUAAAUUUAAUUUGUUUAAUGGGCAAUAAAAUAUUACCCUGGUAAUAAAUUGUUUGUAUAAAAUGUGUUCCAGAAUAAUCGGCUAUACUUGUUAAACUUUAACUUUAUUUUUUGUAAAUUAUAAAAUUGUGUAAAAUUUUUUAGAUAUUUUUUAGGUAAAAUUUUAAAUGUUAAUAUUUUAAUUUUAUAAUUUAAAAGUUUGUGAAAUGAAUUAGAUUAGUACCUAAGUAAUCAAAUUUUAGCAGAGCAGAAGUAAAGUAAAAUUUAAACUGAAAUAAUAUUGGCAGAUUUUCUAAAUUAUCUUUGGAGGUUGAGUAAUAAUUGAGAACCCUCAUUAACUACUAAUUUUUUUGGCUCAUGUAUGAUCGUUUAUUUUGUGUUGAAGACAUAAAAGUAAAAUUAAUUAAUUGUAAAAAUAGAUAUAUAUUUGGUUUAUAUAUAAGUAAUAUUUGACCUACAAUAAAAAAAAAUGUGGAUUUUUUAUGUGAAUAAAAAAAAAAAAUGUAAAAGACAGUAAAAAAAUUUUUAUGGUUUUUUGAAGAGUAUUUAGAAAUGGUACAAAUCAUCCAUCAAUUGCCUAAAGGGGAGUAAGUUGUAGUAAAGUAGAUUUAGGGGAAUCUGAAUCUAAUAAU